RNAcentral lists this unclassified non-coding RNA (237 nucleotides) under Vermiconidia calcicola. Its description in RNAcentral is "Vermiconia calcicola partial contains 5.8S ribosomal RNA, internal transcribed spacer 2, and large subunit ribosomal RNA". Lineage: Eukaryota; Fungi; Ascomycota; Dothideomycetes; Mycosphaerellales; Extremaceae. The record is from RNAcentral.
CGCACAUUGCGCCCCUUGGUAUUCCGGGGGGCAUGCCCGUUCGAGCGUCAUUACACCUCUCAAGCCUGGCUUGGUAUUGGGGGUUGCGGUUUGACUGCACCCUUUGAAUUCAUUCGGCUGGUAAUAUCCAAUCCUCAGCGUCGUGCAACAUCAUCGCCGAAGGGUUUGGGUGUACAAGCCGUUAAACUCCAUCAAAAGGUUGACCUCGGAUCGGGUAGGGAUACCCGCUGAACUUAA